Non-coding RNA from Phaseolus vulgaris (common bean), 99 nucleotides. NCBI's taxonomy places the organism in Eukaryota, Viridiplantae, Streptophyta, Magnoliopsida, Fabales, Fabaceae. The record is from Rfam.
GGACUGUGAUGAUUUCUGUGAUAAGGCUUCGUUCGUCGUAAUUGGCCAAAUCGUCCUUGCCGACUAUUCUUGCAAUAUCAGUACCCAGGUUCUGAGUCC